Molecule: ribosomal RNA, 254 nt
Filed under: uncultured bacterium
Lineage: Bacteria
Description: partial 16S ribosomal RNA
Rfam family: Bacterial small subunit ribosomal RNA
Source: RNAcentral
UACGGGGGGGGGCAAGCGUUGUUCGGAAUUACUGGGCGUAAAGGGCGCGUAGGCGGCCUGGCAAGUGGAAGGUGAAAUCCCUCGGCUUAACCGAGGAACUGCCCUCCAAACUGCUUGGCUUGAGUCCGGGAGAGGUGAGUGGAAUUCCCAGUGUAGCGGUGAAAUGCGUAGAUAUUGGGAGGAACACCAGUGGCGAAGGCGGCUCACUGGACCGGAACUGACGCUGAGGCGCGAAAGCGUGGGGAGCAAACGGG